Molecule: long non-coding RNA, 1068 nt
Organism: Pistacia vera
Lineage: Eukaryota; Viridiplantae; Streptophyta; Magnoliopsida; Sapindales; Anacardiaceae
Exons: 3
Source: RefSeq, a predicted model, not a curated record
UACUCAAAUUUACCACUCUGGGAACCAUACUUACAACCUGGAAGUUAUAAUUUUAGCAAUGGAGCUAAUUUUGCAAGUGCUAGAGCUGGUGUUCUUCAAGAAACUGAUCCAGAUACGCUUUACAGCCAAAAACAGCUAAGCUAUUUCAGGAGGUGGCCAAUUUACUGAGCAGCAACUCAGAGAUGCAAAGGCCAAAAAGAUACUAGCCGGUGCAAUAUAUUUGUCUAGCUUUGGAGGGAGGCGUUGACUACUUGUCUUUCAUCAACAAUACUCCUAAUCCUACCGAAUUACAACAACGGGAAUAUGUGAACAUGGUGAUUGGCAAUUUUACAGAUGUGAUUACGGAAAUAUAUGAAAUGGGAGGGAGGAAAUUUGCAUUUCAAAAUGUGGGACCUUUGGGUUGCCUACCAUUGUCGAAACAAUAUUACAAUCUUAGUGGUGGUGCUUGUGUAGAAGUCUUCCAAGCAAUCGCUAGUCUUCCAAAUAGUCUUCUAUCGAAUAUCACUACGGAGUUGCGAAGCCAGUUAUCAGGAUUCGGAUAUGUAAUUUUUUAUUUCUUUAAUUCACUUAAUGACAUGAUAAAUUAUCCUACAAAAUAUGGUACUUUAUAUAUAGGUCAUAAUUUUUUGUUCUUUAAAUGCUCAUACGUAACGUAGCUCUUACUCUUAAAUUUUGCUAUAAAUCUUGUCUAUUGUAGGCUUUAGUGCGUCAGAAAUAGCAUGUUGCGGCAUCGGUUAACAUCAUGGUUCCGAAUACAGCAGAGUAAAAGAAUAUGAACUAUGUAUUGAUCCUAAUGAGUAUGUGUUUUUCGAUGGAAGCCAUCAAUCUGAACUUGCUAAUUCUUUAUUAUUCAACUUCUUGUGGAAUGGAGGAUCAGAUUUUACAUGGCCUCUUAGCAUGAAGCAACUUUAUGAACUCAAUUCCACCACCGCCAUUGAGAUUUUAUCAUAGGAUAAACUUUUGUUUUCCAUGUAACCUAUCAAGUUAAAUCGGGUAGACUAUAGCCACAUAUCUUAUGCUUAGUCAAUAAUUUACCAUAAUUUAUAUCAAGGGAUAUUUUUGAGAUCA